Molecule: long non-coding RNA, 446 nt
Filed under: Phaseolus vulgaris (common bean)
Lineage: Eukaryota; Viridiplantae; Streptophyta; Magnoliopsida; Fabales; Fabaceae
Description: long non-coding RNA (PVUL_LNC005351)
Source: RNAcentral
GCCUAUACUAUUGCUUGCGGCCACGUCAUCAAUUCCGACUACCUAGGCGGUACACAAGCCCCCAGUCUUAAGCGAAGACUUGUCCAGCGAAAAGACUAAGAGGUCACGUCACUACCGAUCUACGUGGCGCUGGGACGGAAUUCCAAACGUUCGUACCCUCUGCUUUUCUGACGCUCCACCAAACUCUUUUUUCCAAUCGCUCGACACGUGGCUUCAUCAACGGUCAUCUUCAGCUGUCGUUUGCGCUUCCAAAAACGUUUGAAAAACCCUUAAACCCCUUCAUUUCUACUGUUUCAUCAUCUCUCUGCAUUCUCAAAACGCUCUGAGUUUUCUUCUGCAAACCCACGACGCUCCUCAACUCUCUCAAUCUCCAACUUCCUUCAACGCUCAUCCGAUCAUCGAAAGGUACCUCUUUUACUUCCUCUGUUGAUAUUUGCUGCAUUUUA